GACGAACGCUGGCGGCGUGCUUAACACAUGCAAGUCGAACGGAAAGGCCCUGCUUUUGUGGGGUGCUCGAGUGGCGAACGGGUGAGUAACACGUGAGUAGCCUGCCCUUGACUUUGGGAUAACUUCAGGAAACUGGGGCUAAUACCGGAUAGGAGCUCCUGCUGCAUGGUGGGGGUUGGAAAGUUUCGGCGGUUGGGGAUGGACUCGCGGCUUAUCAGCUUGUUGGUGGGGUAGUGGCUUACCAAGGCUUUGACGGGUAGCCGGCCUGAGAGGGUGACCGGCCACAUUGGGACUGAGAUACGGCCCAGACUCCUACGGGAGGCAGCAGUGGGGAAUAUUGCACAAUGGGCGGAAGCCUGAUGCAGCAACGCCGCGUGCGGGGUGACGGCCUUCGGGUUGUAAACCGCUUUCGCCUGUGACGAAGCGUGAGUGACGGUAAUGGGUAAAGAAGCACCGGCUAACUACGUGCCAGCAGCCGCGGUGAUACGUAGGGUGCGAGCGUUGUCCGGAUUUAUUGGGCGUAAAGGGCUCGUAGGUGGUUGAUCGCGUCGGAAGUGUAAUCUUGGGGCUUAACCCUGAGCGUGCUUUCGAUACGGGUUGACUUGAGGAAGGUAGGGGAGAAUGGAAUUCCUGGUGGAGCGGUGGAAUGCGCAGAUAUCAGGAGGAACACCAGUGGCGAAGGCGGUUCUCUGGGCCUUUCCUGACGCUGAGGAGCGAAAGCGUGGGGAGCGAACAGGCUUAGAUACCCUGGUAGUCCACGCUGUAAACGGUGGGUACUAGGUGUGGGGUCCAUUCCACGGGUUCCGUGCCGUAGCUAACGCUUUAAGUACCCCGCCUGGGGAGUACGGCCGCAAGGCUAAAACUCAAAGGAAUUGACGGGGCCCCGCACAAGCGGCGGAGCAUGCGGAUUAAUUCGAUGCAACGCGUAGAACCUUACCUGGGUUUGACAUGGAUCGGGAGUGCUCAGAGAUGGGUGUGCCUCUUUUGGGGUCGGUUCACAGGUGGUGCAUGGCUGUCGUCAGCUCGUGUCGUGAGAUGUUGGGUUAAGUCCCGCAACGAGCGCAACCCUUGUUCACUGUUGCCAGCACGUUAUGGUGGGGACUCAGUGGAGACCGCCGGGGUCAACUCGGAGGAAGGUGGGGAUGACGUCAAGUCAUCAUGCCCCUUAUGUCCAGGGCUUCACGCAUGCUACAAUGGCUGGUACAGAGAGUGGCGAGCCUGUGAGGGUGAGCGAAUCUCGGAAAGCCGGUCUCAGUUCGGAUUGGGGUCUGCAACUCGACCUCAUGAAGUCGGAGUCGCUAGUAAUCGCAGAUCAGCAACGCUGCGGUGAAUACGUUCCCGGGGCU
RNAcentral lists this ribosomal RNA (1346 nucleotides) under uncultured bacterium. RNAcentral's name for it is "partial 16S ribosomal RNA". It matches the Rfam family "Bacterial small subunit ribosomal RNA", at positions 28 to 1381 of the family's 1533-position model. The record is from RNAcentral.